AAUAAGGAGAGAUUAAGAAAAAGCCUAUUAAACAUCAAAAUAAGAUGAUUUUACAAAUUAAGCACCAAAACAUCAUGUUAUACAACAAAUUUGACAGAAAAAGCAGUUCAAUUCACAGUAAUGCUAUGUUGUAAUUACAGUGGAGUCUCACUUAUCCAACAUAAACGGGCCGGCAGAAUGUUGGAUAAGUGAAUAUGUUGGAUAAUAAGGAGAGAUUAAGAAAAAGCCUAUUAAACAUCAAAAUAAGAUGAUUUUACAAAUUAAGCACCAAAACAUCAUGUUAUACAACAAAUUUGACAGAAAAAGCAGUUCAAUUCACAGUAAUGCUAUGUUGUAAUUACAGUAGAGUCUCACUUAUCCAACAUAAACGGGCCGGCAGAAUGUUGGAUAAGUGAAUAUGUUGGAUACUAAGGAGAGAUUAAGAAAAAGCCUAUUAAACAUCAAAAUAAGUUAUGAUUUUACAAAUUAAGCACCAAAACAUCAUGUUAGACAACAAAUUUGACAGAAAAAGUAGUUCAUUACACAUUAAUGCUAUGUAGUAAUUACUGUAUUUACGAAUUUAGCACCAAAAUAUCACGAUGUAUUGAAAACAUUGACUACAAAAAUGUGUUGGAUAAUCCAGAACGUUGGAUAAACGAGUGUUGGAUAAGUGAGAUUCUACUGUAUUUUGAAAUUCUUAGCACAAAAUAAGCAUUGAGAUGAUCGAUAGAUAGAUAGAUAGAUAGAUAGAUAGAUAGAUAGAUAGAUAGAUAGAUAGGAUAUAUGUGUGCAUUUAUAUAUAUAUAGUAUAGUUUAAUAUAAUAUGUAUGUAUGUUUAUUUCAAUGAAUAAAUAUUUUUUUAAUAGCCAUCUUCAUAAAUAAGGGCAAAAGGGUCCCUUCAUAUUUUGAAGUUCUUGGCACAAAAUAAGCAUUGAGAUGAUAGAUAGAUAGAUAGAUAGAUAGAUAGAGAGAGAGAGAGAGAGAGAGAGAGAGAGAGAGAGAGAGAGAGAGAGAGAGAGAGAGAGAGAGAUAGGAUAUAUGUGUGCAUUUAUAUAUAUAGUAUAGUUUAAUAUAAUAUAAACAAACAAUAAUAAUAAUAAUAAUGUGUGCCUGUGAUAGAUAUAUCAUAUCAUAGAAUCCUAGAGUUGGAAGAGACCCCCAAAGGACACAUCCAAGCGCUCCUGACAGAUGGCCAUACAGCCAAAGAUGUGAUAGAUAUGAUUGAGAUAGAUAGAUAUGAUAUAUGUGUGAAUUUAUGUGUAUAGUAUAGUUUCAUACAAUAUAAACAAACAAUCAUAAUAAAAAUAAUAGGUAUAUCAUAUCAUAGAAUCCUAGAGUUGGAAGAGACCCCCAAAGGCCAUCCAGUCUGGCCCCCUUCUGCCGGGCUGGAAGGCACCAUUCAAACCCUCCCAACAGAUGGCCAUACAGCCAAAGACGUGAUAGAUAUGGUUGAGAUAGAUAGAUAUGAUAUAUGUUUGAAUUUAUGUAUGUAGUAUAGUUUAAUACAAUAUAAACAAACAAUAAUAAUCAUGCAUGUGUGUGAUAGAUAUAUCAUAUCAUAGAAUUCUAGAGUUGGAAGAGACCUUCAAAGGCCAUCCAGUCUGACCCCCUUCUACUGGGCUGGAAGGCACCAUUCAAACCCACUCGACAGAUGGCCAUACAGCCAAAGAUGUGAUAGAUAUGGUUGAGAGGUCAUCGGAUCUGACACUGUUAGCUCCAGCUCCUGCCAACCUAGCAGUUCGAAAACAUGCAAAUGUGAGUAGAUAAAUAGGUACCGCUCCGGUGGGGAAGUAAUGGCGCUCCAUGCAGUCCACAUGACCUUGGAGGUGUCUAUGGACAACGCCGGCUUUUCAGCUUAGAAACGGGGAUGAGCACCAACCCCCAGAGUCGGACACGACUAUUUAUUUAUUUACAGUAUUUAUAUUCCGCUCUUCUCAGGGCGGAUCACAAUGUACAUAUAAAAUUUUUGAAAUAACGAAUAUGGACAAAUUAACAUAUCUAUUAUCAAACACCCAAGGCAAGCCAAGAAAACAAACAAAUUGGGAACCAAUCAAAAACUAUUUUAAAAAAAAGAAAAAUGCAAGAUAAUAAUAUGAAAAUGGUUUAGAGAAGAAUGAUUGAAUAAUGGGCCACCCCAGAACAUGUAAAUAAGGAGAAAAUAAGCAAUUAGGUAGACAAGGGCACAAUGGAUAUAAAAAGAUCAAUUUUCAAAGCACCGCACAAUAGAAGGAAGUCAAUUUUAAUGUAAUUGUAUCGUUGAUGUUAUGGUUGAGCCUUCGGGAUCCGGUAAUGAAAGAAGGGGUCGUAAGACUCCUCGAGAGUCAGACACUCUCGAGGAGCGUGAAAGGAAACGGCUCCGGGAUUUGUUUGCAGAGCCGACAGAUGAGGACUCAUUUGAGGGUUUUUCUCAGGGUUUGGAGGAAGAGAUGGCCAGCUCGGAGGAGGAUGAUAUGGAAUGGACUCGUGUGAGGGAGGAUUUGGGUGUUGGGGAAACAGGCAAUGAAAGCAUGGGAGGUGAUUGGCGGGUUGCAGGAUCAGACCCAUGGACUGGCUGGAGGGAUGGAGCGGGAUCCACAGCUGGGGAUGCUGUGGGGCGUAGUCGAAGGUGCUUAAGCUCUGAUGAGGAUGAGGAUGUUGGGGCGUCUGGAAUUGGGAUGGCAGCUGACAGCGAUGAUGAGCUUGAACUGGGAUAAAAUGGGGUUUGGGACCAAUGUCUAAUUGCGUUGGGCAAGGUAAUCUGGACGGACGCUUGGGCUCUUGCUGGGGAAUUUCCUGAAGACGGGUGUGAUUCAUUACUGGAUACCUUGGACCUCCGUCGUCUUUUUGACGGGCAAUAUCUACUUUCACUGGAUUGACGCUGGACUGACUGACUACGAUUCCGGAUUAACCCUUCUGCUGGCUAUCGGUGUGACCUUUGGAUUCCUUGACGACUACGCUUGGCUUUUGAUCUUCUGGACCGGAUUGGGACCCUGCUGACUGCCAUUACCCUAAACCUGAAUCUUGACUACAGCCACGCUCUCGUUCGCUGCAGGAAGGAGUAAACAAGCCUGGUUUACUCCCCUGCUGUUCCUGAGUAGCAGAGAGGAAUCUGCCGCCAGUCUUUUGUUUACAUUCCAACUCCUGUUGAUUCUCUUUUGUUUGCAUUGUUUGCCAAGCUGAAGUAAGCUCUUCGAUUUAAUCCGGAUUAUACUCCUGUUUAACCCGGUUUUUCCCUUUGAACUGUUUAAGCUCAAACUGAGCUGCUUUUUGGUUAUUUAGCACACUGAAGUCAAGUGUUUGCCCUGUUCUUUGUUCCUUACGGGCGUUUUUAGUUCUGUAACCUCAAUAAACUGAGUUUUGUUUUA
Molecule: long non-coding RNA, 3323 nt
Organism: Anolis carolinensis (green anole)
Lineage: Eukaryota; Metazoa; Chordata; Lepidosauria; Squamata; Anolidae
Exons: 2
Source: RefSeq, a predicted model, not a curated record